AAGGGUCUCAUUAAAUCAGUUAUGGUUCCUUAGAUCGUACAAUCCUACUUGGAUAACUGUGGCAAUUCUAGAGCUAAUACAUGCUACCCAGCUCCGACCUUCGGGGAAAAGGGUUUUUGUUAGUACAAAACCAAUCCGGGCUCCGGUCCGGUCCCCUUGGGGACUUUGAACAAUUUUGUGCUGAUCGCACGGCCUGGGGCCGGGGACGUAUUUUUCAAAUGUCUGCCCUAUAACUUUCGAUGGUACGUGAUAUCGCCUCCCAGGGUUUUCCCGGGUAACGGGGAAUCAGGGUUCGAUUCCGGAAAGGGAGCAUGAAAAACGGUUCCCCCUUCCAAGGAAGGCGCCGGGGGCCCAAAUUACCCCCUCCUGACCCGGGGAGGGUAGGGAGGAAAAAUAACAAUACGGGACUCUUUCAAGGCCCCGUAAUUGAAAUGAGUACACUUUAAAUCC
This 450-nucleotide ribosomal RNA is filed under the name Panopea japonica. RNAcentral's name for it is "bacterial SSU rRNA". It matches the Rfam family "Eukaryotic small subunit ribosomal RNA", at positions 91 to 532 of the family's 1831-position model. Lineage: Eukaryota; Metazoa; Mollusca; Bivalvia; Adapedonta; Hiatellidae. The record is from RNAcentral. RNAcentral also lists the same sequence under 1 other name.